Molecule: ribosomal RNA, 274 nt
Filed under: uncultured bacterium
Lineage: Bacteria
Description: partial 16S ribosomal RNA
Rfam family: Bacterial small subunit ribosomal RNA
Source: RNAcentral
AUACGGAGGGUGCAAGCGUUAUUCGGAAUCACUGGGCGUAAAGGGUGCGUAGGCGGUUUGAUAAGUCUGGUGUGAAAUCCUAUGGCUCAACCAUAGAACUGCAUUGGAAACUGUCAGACUAGAAUACUGAAGGGGCAGAUGGAAUUAGUGGUGUAGGGGUGAAAUCCGUAGAUAUCACUAGGAAUACCGAAAGCGAAAGCGAUCUGCUGGGAAGCUAUUGACGCUGAGGCACGAAAGCGUGGGGAGCAAACGGGAUUAGAAACCCUAGUAGUCC